UGGGUUGGUUUUAGAAAUCCCCGUCAAGCUGAGGGACUCGGGACAAGUGAUUGCACUUCUCUGUGUGUGUGUCUCAAGGUCUAUGAUCUGUGAGAUUAUCAGCUGUUAUCUUUUCAAAUGCUGAUUAGCUAAACCUAAACAAUAUUAUCUCUUAGGCUGUCUAGGUUUUUAUAGUUCACUCUUUCACAGGAGCAUGCUUUGGGAACAGUGACUGCAAGAUUGUGGCUGUCAGAUGGAUUCAGGGUAGAAAUUUCAUUGUAGGAAUUCCGUCUCCAGGACCGGGUUCAUCAGGAGAUGGCCCUUCCAGUGUCCCCAUGGAGAGAAAGGAGGUUGGAAGGGGGGAAGCAAGACCUGUGGCUUCGCUGUUUUUUGCAUCUUUUUCUGUGGAGUGGUCUGCUUUCUGUUUUUUUUGUUUGUUUUGUUUUUUGUUUUUUUACCCCCAAUGGCCUGUUCAGCUUGUGGAUUAGGCAUUUAUUUCUGAAGUCAGUGGGCAAUGACUCACACACACACAAAAAAAAAAACACACAAAUACAAUAGCUUGUGACUAGGAAGCAAUGAAAAUGCUAACUAAGGAAAACUUGAAAGAAAGUAAAAUGUACAUUGAGGUAAGCUUUCUUUAGGAUGUUUGGGUUUCCCAUAACAGUGUAAUUUUAAUAAUUUGUUUUCUCUGUUUUGUACUGCAGGAGAAGUCUGGUAGUGACUGCAGACACUGGAACGUUUUACCACAGAGGCAGUAACAGAUUGGCAUUGGUUAUGAAAUUAAUUACUAAUAGAGGGUGUAAGAUGUGAAUUUGUGAAUGUACUCACAUUUCCCCCCUCAGAGCAGGGAUGGAGUUAGAGCACGUCAGUGCUAGGAGUGCUUUAUUGGUUUGCUGGGAGAGAGCAUCAGCAAGUGGAAGGGGUAAAAUGCUGGAGAGGGGCAGCAGGGAAUAAAGCCACCUUCUGUACCUAAUUGGGCAAGAAGUGCACAGAACAAGGCUGCUCCUUAAUUACUGGAAUGUUGCUGACGAUGGUUUAAAUCUAGUAAGCGUCUCAGAUGAAGAAAGGACUGCAGGAAGCUGCCCAGCUGCUGGCUGUAGUCCCCACACCUUGAAGACGGAAGGUGCCGUGUGAGAUUUUUUCUUUUCGCUUAAGUUUCGUGCAGCAAGUAUUCCCCAGCUUAGGAGAAACAGGUUAGCUGUCUCAUUAGCAGCCAACUGGCUGCUCACUCUGCAGUUUUGCUGAUAAAACUGCAAAGGGAUUUGUGCCAGCAUAGCUCUGUGUGCCAGGGAUCACACUGCAGAGCCACACUGGCUGAGGCCUGCGUAGAUGUGGCCGGGGGGAUCGCUCGUCCGCUUUGUCCGGUUUAUCUCGCGGCCGGGAGACCGCAUCGUCCCUCGCUGCGGAGUGUGGGCAGCCAGUUACAGCCUGACUUUGUUACCGUGCAGGGAGAGGUUUGACUUCUAAACCCCUGUGAAUGGGAAGGAAGUGGAAGCAACCCAUCUGCAAGCCCGGAGGGAUGCAGCGAGGUCAGGAGGUGAAGCAGAGCUGACUUGUGUCCCCAGGACCUGGGCACGGCGGUCUCGGGGGAGAGCGUGGCCUGAACAGCUUCCUGAAGAAACGAGACCUAGGUGAUCAUGUUGCUGAUCACGUUGCUGUGGUUUUUGUCUCCCAAGCUGUUACCACAACUUUUAAACGUGGUGGUUGACUUCAUCUGGGUUUUGUAGCGGAGCAGAGGUCUCAAGGUGCUGGGAGGAGUUUCAAGAAAAUGGAUAACUUGGUGGGGGAGAGUGACACCAUGAAGGUCCUUAUUAAGGAAGAGGCUGUAGUGUGAGCUUACUUGUUAUUACACAAAAAAGAAACUGUGCACAUGGACACAAAAGGACCAAGAUUUGCUUCAUCCGUCUUGCAAGGACACUCUGAGGCUUUAAACGUGUAGAAGGGAGGACAGCGUGUCUUGCAGUGCAGGUUCCCAGAGGUGGUUCAUAUUUCUUGUUAUUCUCAGGCACUUGCCUACUACUGUGGCUUAAAAAGUGUUUGUAAAAGUGAGCCAUGAAUGUAGAUUGUUAAAGAUGAAUUUGCAUGUUCCUCCUUCAGUGAAAUUCCUCUUGACAGAGACCACAUCUCCAAGUCUGUGUUAAAACAAAGCAGCUCAGUAGACAGAUGUUUUCCACUUUCCUCUGUAAAAUUAUUUAUUGCUACAACAGUCUUACAUUUACUUAACCGUGACAUAAGAAGCAAUUUUUUUUUUAAUCACCUUUCUUUUCUGAUGCCCUCAAUCAGCCUUUCUCCCGUCAGGCUCCCUGCUGUUGCUUUUCUGCCCUUUCAGUUCAGCUCUCUGGCACAGAAGGCUGCCAGAGGUGAUAACAGAACUUAGUCCGAAGUCCGAUGCCAGAAGUAAGAAGCAGCAGCAUACAGAAGUGAUCGGGAUGUGCAUCACUGAGUCUCCGGUCCUUAUUCCCACAGCACGGUUGGUAAGCGGGAGAAAAUGAAGUGCUCUGUCACAGGAUGGAAGCUGUCCUGGUCCUAGGCUUUGUUGCCAUCUCCUGGCCCAGAAGAGGGCAGCAGCAGCGCAGGCUGCAGUCUCCGCUGACCUUAACAAAGCUUUGCUCUUCCCUUCCGUGGGGGGGCUUCAGGGCCUGCAGAAAGCUCGGGAGGAAAAGCAACGUGUGCGGGUUGCAAGGUGAAGACAAGGUGCUGUGGGCAGGGUGCUGAUGCCGUCUGUGCCCUCACACAGCCUGCUCUGGGACUGCAAGCGGGAAGGAAAAGUGGUUCCUAAGAAGCAGUCUAGAGGUAUUUAGUUUCUCAUAGCAGUAAUUUUGGACUUCAGUUACUGGUAAUCCCUGCCUUGAAGUCACUGUCUUCACUGCACCAGAAAACAGCGUGCUAGCUCGUGUUUUCUCGGGUUGCUUCACUUGCAGAGUACGUGAGGAUAAUAAACUAGCGGCGUCUUGAUGACUUGCUAGUUGACAUUCUGUCUUUAAACUUGCUGCGAGAGAAUAAAGAAUAAAAGUGGCUAUCUUUUACUGGUGAAAAAUGUGUUCCCCUACUUUGGCAUCCUAGUGUGACCUCUCCAAUCUUCCUUGCUCAGUCUUUUUUGCCUGUGGGUUGGGUUUGAGCGUAGUGCAACUCGGACAAUUUUUUGUUGAGGGCACCAUUUCUCCUUGCAGCUGAGUCCAUGCCUUCUAGACCAGCCAGACAGCUUAUUCCUGUACUAGAUGGUAUCACUAGGUGUGGAAAACACCCGUUUAGCCCCUGGCCUGCCACUGCCUGUCAUUUAGCACACGAGUGGGAGGAGGGCGUGCUUUAAGCGAACUUACUCAGCUGCAUAAUGGAGCCAGCCUAGGUUUUGCAGUGCCCCCCCUCAUCUCUAUUUGUAGAGGUCUUCCCUAGGAUCAUGUGGGUGCUGUAUCACUUUCCCUGUUUACAUCGUAGGAAAGGAUCUGCUUUGUCGUUCACGUGACUUUAAAAUGUCUGUCUCAAUUUCUCUCCCCUUUUUUUUUCCAGCUCACUCCCUGUGAAAUCAUAGCAGAAUGCAAAACUGUUGCUUAUCAAAGCUCUUCUAAAAUGAUUCAUUAAAGAAGGAGCCUUUUAGCCUUGUGAAGCAGACCUCGGUUGCUUCUUAAUAAAUGCAGUGACAAAUGGGAGUACCUUUCUCUUCUGUUUUAUGCUUUAUCUUACGUGCACACCCGUCUUUUUAAUACCUUUCAGUGAGCCUUAGUCCAGCACCUAAACAGAGCAAUUCCUGAACUCUCUCUACCUCUUUUUAUAAAACUACAGCUCAUUAUUAGCCUCUUAAAAAAA
Molecule: long non-coding RNA, 3783 nt
Organism: Oxyura jamaicensis (ruddy duck)
Lineage: Eukaryota; Metazoa; Chordata; Aves; Anseriformes; Anatidae
Exons: 2
Source: RefSeq, a predicted model, not a curated record